UCCAUCUUGUAUUUAGCCGCUGGAUCCAGCGUUUCACUGUGGAGGCAGACACAGGAACAAUUCUUUUUUCUAUCUGAAUUAACCAAGGAGAGCCUCUAGACCAUAAACUCAUUACGGGCAGGAAACACGUCUGCCAAAUCUGUUAUGGUGUACCCCUCGAAGCGUUUCGCACAGCGUUCUGCACACGCACCACGAAGAGACAGAGCUUUAUUAGCAAACGAACUUCUUACCGACUGUAAAAGCCAUCGAUUUCCAUCAUGUUUGCUUCACCACCUGCUUUAAAAAGAAAAGUUGGGAGAUUCAAAACCGCUACUUAAAGGUCACAGACUACCAAAACAGCCCAAUGUGGGAAUGGAUCUGCGGAAGGGCGGGUCGGAAGGCGGUCCCGGCCCUGGAUGUUUUAAAGGAUGCCUCCGUGCGAGGCAUAUUUGGAAAAACGUAUCUGCCACAGGAGAAGCGGUUAGCAAGG
This is a long non-coding RNA of Tachyglossus aculeatus (Australian echidna), 469 nucleotides long. RefSeq lists it as uncharacterized. The record is from RefSeq and is a predicted model, not a curated record. The transcript has 4 exons. Lineage: Eukaryota; Metazoa; Chordata; Mammalia; Monotremata; Tachyglossidae.